CGCGUAGGCGGGAUGGCAAGUCGGUCGUGAAAUCCCUCGGCUCAACCGAGGAGCGUCGGCCGAUACUGCCGUUCUUGAGGGAUGCAGAGGAGACUGGAAUUCCCGGUGUAGCGGUGAAAUGUGUAGAGAUCGGGAGGAACACCGGUGGCGAAGGCGGGUCUCUGGGCAUCUCCUGACGCUGAGGCGCGAAAGCGUGGGGAGCAAACG
RNAcentral lists this ribosomal RNA (207 nucleotides) under uncultured bacterium. Its description in RNAcentral is "partial 16S ribosomal RNA". It matches the Rfam family "Bacterial small subunit ribosomal RNA", at positions 568 to 774 of the family's 1533-position model. The record is from RNAcentral.